This 508-nucleotide ribosomal RNA is filed under the name uncultured bacterium. Its description in RNAcentral is "partial 16S ribosomal RNA". It matches the Rfam family "Bacterial small subunit ribosomal RNA", at positions 30 to 523 of the family's 1533-position model. The record is from RNAcentral.
AUUGAACGCUGGCGGCAUGCCUUACACAUGCAAGUCGAACGGCAGCGGGGGAGAAGCUUGCUUUUCCUGCCGGCGAGUGGCGAACGGGUGAGUAAUACAUCGGAACGUGCCCUGUAGUGGGGGAUAACUAGUCGAAAGAUUAGCUAAUGCCGCAUACGACCUGAGGGUGAAAGUGGGGGACCGCAAGGCCUCAUGCUAUAGGAGCGGCCGAUGUCUGAUUAGCUAGUUGGUGGGGUAAAGGCCUACCAAGGCGACGAUCAGUAGCUGGUCUGAGAGGACGAUCGGCCGCACUGGGACUGAGACACGGCCCAGACUCCUACGGGAGGCAGCAGGGGGGAAUUUUGGACAAUGGGCGAAAGCCUGAUCCAGCAAUGCUUCGGGUGUGAAGAAGGCCUUCGGGUUGUAAAGCACUUUUGUCCGGAAAGAAAUGGCUCUGGUUAAUACCUGGGGUCGAUGACGGUACCGGAAGAAUAAGGACCGGCUAACUACGUGCCAGCAGCCGCAGUAA